GACGCGCGAAAUUCGAGGGGGUUGGGGUUUACCUUAGUUGGUCGAUUCCGCCCCUGGUUUAGGGGUCGCGGACGCGUGGCUUCCUUUUAAUUUCAAACGCGCGUCACUUUUCUUUCUUUGCCGCCUUGCCGCCUGAGCGCCAGCUCAGGUGCGGCCGGUCUAGCAGACGAUAGGGUCAGCUGACCGGCCGGGCCAAUGGGUGCGAGCGAGAGCGAGUGAGGCGAGCGGGGGACAGCGGCCGGACGCUGGAGCCCGGUCACUCAGCGAGCUGCAGCGGCGAGAGAGGGUCUGCCUCGGCGGCCCGACCCAAGCACCUGCUAUGGUUUUAUUUUACUUCCGUGCGCUACCCGCACAUAGUGCUUGGUGAGUGGGAAUCGCUUUUCUGGGGUAACUAAAUAGUGAGACAUCCGUGUGCUAAUGUAGUCGUUUCCUUGCAGGGUUUAAGUUUCCCGUCUUUUGGACGGUGUAUGUCCGCCGUGAUGGCGUGUUUCGCUGGGUCAAGAUGUAGAACUAGAUUCUCAUUCUCACCGGCGGUCCGCCUCGUGAAGUCACCAGCAGACUGACUUUGUCAAUCUUUGCCGCCCGCCCCGCCGGGGCCGGGUCGGCUGUUUUUGUUGUCAAGCUCUCUUCUCCAUCGCCGCUUCGCUAAACACGUGAAGACCGCCCAAUAGUUGCAUCUGUGCUAAACAUCAGCUAAACAACCGUUAGCUAUCACCCAAUACAUGCUGAGUUAGUGUCACAGCAUGAUCACAGGAAUGCUUCUGGUAUUCAGAUUCGCUCCAAGUCACCAGCAGAAACAAGCCGGCUACUUGAGGAAGACUUUACUCUUAUAAUGUAAAUGAUUUAAAAC
Molecule: long non-coding RNA, 850 nt
Organism: Frankliniella occidentalis (western flower thrips)
Lineage: Eukaryota; Metazoa; Arthropoda; Insecta; Thysanoptera; Thripidae
Exons: 3
Source: RefSeq, a predicted model, not a curated record